This 396-nucleotide ribosomal RNA is filed under the name Microhyla heymonsi (Taiwan rice frog). RNAcentral describes it as "partial 16S ribosomal RNA". It matches the Rfam family "Bacterial large subunit ribosomal RNA", at positions 1822 to 2429 of the family's 2925-position model. Lineage: Eukaryota; Metazoa; Chordata; Amphibia; Anura; Microhylidae. The record is from RNAcentral.
CCUGAUUUUUAUAGGAGGUCUAGCCUGCCCAGUGACAAAGUUAAACGGCCGCGGUACCCUAACCGUGCAAAGGUAGCGCAAUCACUUGUUCUUUAAAUGAGGACUAGUAUGAACGGCAUCACGAGGGUUAUGCUGUCUCCCUACUUUAUUCAGUGAAACUGAUCUCCCCGUGAAGAAGCGGGGAUAAAAAUAUAAGACGAGAAGACCCCAUGGAGCUUUAAACUCAGUAUCAACUGCUAUAUUUAAAACCUAAUACACAAGCAAUCUCUGACUACUAGUUUUCGGUUGGGGUGACCACGGAGUAAAACCUAACCUCCACGAUGAAAGGAAGUAACAACCUAAAUUAAGAGCUACAACUCUAAAUAUCAAUAAAUUGACUGAUUGAUCCAAUUAAUU